Molecule: ribosomal RNA, 583 nt
Filed under: Bombus hypocrita sapporensis (Sapporo bumblebee)
Lineage: Eukaryota; Metazoa; Arthropoda; Insecta; Hymenoptera; Apidae
Description: partial small subunit ribosomal RNA
Source: RNAcentral
UUAACUAAUUUGCAAAUUAAUUUAAUUAAUUAAUAUUAAUAUGGAAUUAAGUGGAUUUAAUUAAAUUUUUAUAUUUUAGGUGAAAUUUAAUUUAUAAAUAUAUUAAAUUUAAUAUAUAUAAAUAUAAUAAGAUGAAUUAAUAAACUAGGAUUAGAUACCCUAUUAUAUAAAAUAAUUAUAUUUUAAUUUAUAAAUAAAUGUUGAAUCAUUAAAAUUAAAUUAUAUGGCGGCUUUUCAUUCUUAUUAGAGAAAUUUGUAAUUUAAUUUGAUAAUCCACGAUAAGAUUUACUUAAAUAAAAAAUUUAUAUAUUGUUGUAUAUUUUAAAAUAAAAUUUAUUAUUAAGAAUAUUUUAUAAAAUAAUAAUUCAAAUCAAAAUGUAGUGUAUUUAAGAAUUUAUGAGUUAUAAUAAAUUAAAUUUUUGGAUAUUUAAAUUUUAAUAUUAAUUUGAAAGAGGAUUUAAUAGUAAAUUUAAUAAAAUUAAUUAAAUUGAAAUUAGUUCUGAAAAGUGUACAAAUUGCCCGUCAGUUUCAUUUAUGGAAUAAGUCGUAACAUAGUAAAAAUAUUGGAAAAUGUUUUUAGAAU